AAACACACUUUUCGUCGAUGUUGAAUUUUCUGCCGGCGGCACGUUUCCCGUUCUCGAGAGCAAACUUGAUCACCUUUAACUUGUAGCCAGCCGUGUAGCUAUUCAGGUAC
This 110-nucleotide microRNA precursor is filed under the name Ixodes scapularis (black-legged tick). RNAcentral describes it as "microRNA isc-mir-5313 precursor". The record is from miRBase by way of RNAcentral. Lineage: Eukaryota; Metazoa; Arthropoda; Arachnida; Ixodida; Ixodidae.